CAGUAGCCGCGGUAAUACGAGGGGGGCAAGCGUUGUCCGGAAUUACUGGGCGUAAAGGGCUCGUAGGUGGUUUGUCGCGUCGUCUGUGAAAUUCUGGGGCUUAACUCCGGGCGUGCAGGCGAUACGGGCAUAACUUGAGUGCUGUAGGGGUAACUGGAAUUCCUGGUGUAGCGGUGAAAUGCGCAGAUAUCAGGAGGAACACCGAUGGCGAAGGCAGGUUACUGGGCAGUUACUGACGCUGAGGAGCGAAAGCAUGGGUAGCGAACAGGAUUAGAUACCCCUGUAGUCCCUGUCUCUUAUA
This 301-nucleotide ribosomal RNA is filed under the name uncultured bacterium. Its description in RNAcentral is "partial 16S ribosomal RNA". It matches the Rfam family "Bacterial small subunit ribosomal RNA", at positions 509 to 808 of the family's 1533-position model. The record is from RNAcentral.